CGAGACGUUGAUGCCAGAGAGUUGACGAUGCAGCCAGGAGAGCAUGAGGUGGAGCGCCAGGUGUGGAGGCAGGCAUGGUGUAUAGGUCCCCGUCGCAGUUACAACGGAGAAUCACGCGUUCCGUCCUGAGAUCCUUAAUAGAGAAACCAUGGGCGUCAAAUUCAAAGGAACAAUUGUUGUCGCGAGUGAAUUGACGAACGGAUAACAGGUUGCGGACUAUGGAUGGGGCGACAAGGAUAUUAUUAAGAGCAAAAUUUGUUGUAGGUGUAGGAAGGACGGAAUGACCUCUAGACAUAACAGGUAUACUAGUGCCAUUACCUACUGUUAUUGAGGAGAUGGAGGGGGGAAGGCGCUGAGUAAGCAUACCAUCCGAGAACGUCAUGUGCGUAGAGGCGCCGGAGUCAACAACCCAGGGCGAGUUGCCCUGAAGUUGCAUGUUUUGCAGGGCAGCGAUGAGGCCUGCUGCAUCCCAGGUGCUGGUGGAGGUGUUGGAGCUGCUGGAGGACGCCUGGAGUGGAGCGAAGGCGGUGUGGGCCUGCGGGGAAGACCCGAGAAUGCCCAGGGUGCGCCCAGCCUGGGCACCAGAACCUCCCUGGCGGCGCUGUCCAGGAGGGGUGACGCGCUCUCCAGGGGCCACACGUUCGCCAGUCCAGGGAUUAAAGCCCCAGGGAACACGUUUGUUGGUGCUGGUGUUGCCGGAGUUGUUGGAGAAGCUACCAGAGGUGUUGUAGAAGGGCUGGUGGCCGCCUUUUUUGGUAUUAGGGCGCCGACCGCCCUGCUGGUGCUGCUGCUGCGAACCACCAACAUUAGCUAGGAGGGCAGCAGCAGCACGCGUCUUCUCGUCGUUCCGCAGCCGCAGCUCUUUGAGGAGUAGCUGAUGGCGUGCGGUGGCGAGGGUGAGGGGCUGCUGUCCGGCGAUGUUGUCGGCGACGCCGGAGUAGACCUCGUUAAGUCCACGCAGCAGGUUGAGGACGAGGUUGGGCUCAGAUACGGGCUGCCCAACGUCGCGUAGUUCGUCGGCCUUCUCCUUCAUGCGAACGCAGUAGGCGUCAAUGGACAGGUCCCCUGAGUCAUCGAGUGAAACUCGUGAUUCAGGAAGAUGGCGCGGGGAGCUUUGUUUGCCUGGAACACCUCGCCGAUGGCCUUCCAAAGGGCGCUCGCAGUCUGGGUGCUGUCGGUCAUGGCGAGGUUGAGGACGGCGUCGGAGGUGGUGCUGUACAUCCAUCCGCGGACGCAGAAGUCAGCCUGUGCCCAUGCCGCAUCGGUGGGGCGCGAGGUGGAGAGGUGAUGCAGCAGCCCAAAUUUCCCACACGUGGCCUGAAACGUCGUCGACCACUUGGUGUAGUUGGAAGGUUUUGAUAGUCGCCUAGAGGGGGGGGGUGAAUAGGGCGAAACUGAAAUUUUCAAAUAUAAACACAACUACAAGCCGGGUUAGCGUUAGAAAUAUAAACGAGUCCGCGAGAGAGGGCGCAAAACAAAUCGCGAGCAAAUAAUGAAGUGUGACACACGGAUUUGUUUUACCGAGGUUCGGUUCUCUCAAACCUACUCCCCGUUGAGGAGGCCACAAAGGCCGGGUCUCUUUCAACCCUUCCCUCUCUCAAACGGUCCCUCGGACCGAGUGAGCUUCUCUUCUCAAAUCAAAGCCGGGAACAAAACUUCCCCGCAAGGGCCACCACACAAUUGGUGCCUCUUGCCUUGAUUACAAUGGAGUUUUGAUCACAAGAACAAGUGAGAAAGAAAAGAAGCAAUCCAAGCGCAAGAGCUCAAAUGAAUACGGCAAAUCACUCUCACUAGUCACUAGGGUUUUGUGUGGAAUUGGAGAGGAUUUGAUCUCUUUGAAUGUGUCUAGAAUUGAAUGCCUAGCUCUUGUAAGUGGUUGAGAAGUAGAAAACUUGGAUGCAAUGAAUGGUGGGGUGGUUGGGGUAUUUAUAGCCCCAACCACCAAAUGUGGCCGUUGGGAACCUGUCUGUUCGAUGGCGCACCGGACAGUCCGGUGCACACCGGACAGUCCGGUGCCCCCUGCCACGUCAUCACUGCCGUUGGAUUCUAGCCGUUGGAGCUUCUGACUUGUGGGCCCGCCUGGGUGUCCGGUGCACACCGGACAUGUACUGUUUGAUGUCCGGUGCACCGGUAUGGGCGUGCCUGACGUCUGCGCGCGCUGCGCGCGCAUUAAAUGCACCGCAGGGAGCCGUUGGCGCCGCAGGGAGCCGUUGCUCCGCUGGCACACCGGACAGUCCGGUGAAUUUUAGCGGGGCGGCUGCCGCGCGAACCCGAGGCUGACGAGUUCCGGAGACCGCGCUUCCUUGGAGCACCGGACAUGUCCGGUGCACACCGGACAGUCCGGUGAAUUAUAGCGCGCCGGCUUCCGAGAAAUCCCAAGGGCGAGGAGUUUGAGUUGGUGUCCUCUGGGCGCACCGGACACUGUCCGGUGCACACCGGACAGUCCGGUGCCUCCAGCCAGAGGUGCCCUCGGUUGCCUCAUUGCUCCUUUGUUGAAUCUAACACUUGGUCUUUUUAUUGGCUGAGGGUGAACCUUUUACACCUGUAUAAUCUACACACUUGGGCAAACUAGUUAGUCCAAAGAUUUGUGUUGGGCAAUUCAACCACCAAAAUUAUAUAGGAACUAGGUGUAAGCCUAAUUCCCUUUCAAUCUCCCCCUUUUUGGUGAUUGAUGCCAACACAAACCAAAGCAAAUAUAGAAGUGCAUAAUUGAACUAGUUUGCAUAAUGUGAGUGUAAAGAUUGCUUGGAAUUGAGCCAAUAAAACUACUUACAAGAUAUGCAUGGAAUGUUUCUUUCUUAUUUAGCAUUUUGGACCACAUUUGCACCACAUGUUUUGUUUUUGCAAAUCCUUUUGUAAAUCUAUUUCAAAGAUCUUUUGCAAAUAGUCAAAGGCAAAUGAAUAGGAGUUUGCAAAAGCAUUUUUAAGAUUUGAAAUUUUCUCCCCCUGUUUCAAAUGCUUUUCCUUUGACUUGACAAAACUCCCCCUAAAGGAGAUCCACCUCUUAGUGAUCAAGAGGGUUUUGAUAUAUAUUUUUAAAAAAAAACUACUUUCUUCCCUUUUGAACACAAUAGGAUACCAAUUGAUAAAUACUUUUGGAAAACACUAAGUUUUUGAAAUUGGUGGUGGUGUGGUCCUUUUGCUUUGGGCUCAUUUCUCCCCCUUUUUGGCAUGAAUCGCCAAAAACGGAAUCAUUAGAGCCCUCGAAGUAAUUUCUUCCCCUUUGGUCAUAAGUAAAUGAGUUAAGAUUAUACCAAAGACGAAGUCCUUUUCUUUGAUGCUCAUUUCUCCCCCAAAGAAUAGAGAGAUGGUUGGAGUGAUGGCGAAGGAUGAGUUACGAAGUGGAAGCCUUUGUCUUCGCCGAAGACUCCAAUUCCCUUUCAAUAUACCUAUGACUUGGUUUGAAAUAGACUUGAAAACACAUUAGUCAUAGCAUAUGAAAGAGAUAUGAUCAAAGGUAUUCAAAUGAGCUAUGUGUGCAAGCUAGCAAAAGAAAUUUCUAGAAUCAAGAAUAUUGAGCUCAUGCCUAAGUCUGGUAAAAGAUUGUUCAUCAAGUGGCUUGGUAAAGAUAUCGGCUAAUUGAUCUUUAGUAUUAAUGUAAGAAAUCUCGAUAUCCCCCUUUUGUUGGUGAUCCCUGAGAAAAUGAUACCGAAUGGCUAUGUGCUUAGUGCGGCUAUGCUCGACGGGAUUGUCGGCCAUUUUGAUUGCACUCUCAUUAUCACAUAGCAAAGGGACUUUGGUUAAUUUGUAACCGUAAUCCCGCAGGGUUUGCCUCAUCCAAAGCAAUUGCGCGCAAUAAUGACCUGCGGCAAUAUACUCGGCUUCGGCGGUGGAAAGAGCGACCGAAUUUUGCUUCUUUGAAGCCCAUGACACCAAGGAUCUUCCCAAGAACUGGCAAGUCCCCGAUGUGCUCUUCCUAUUAAUCUUACACCCUGCCCAAUCAGCAUCCGAAUAACCAAUCAAAUCAAAAGUGGAUCCCCGAGGGUACCAAAGCCCAAACUUAGGUGUGUAAGCCAAAUAUCUCAAGAUUCGUUUUACGGCCGUAAGGUGGGAUUCCUUAGGGUCGGAUUGGAAUCUUGCACACAUGCAUACGGAAAGCAUAAUGUCCGGUCGAGAUGCACAUAAAUAAAGUAAUGAACCAAUCAUCGACCGGUAUACCUUUUGAUCCACGGACUUACCUCCCGUGUCGAGGUCGAGAUGCCCAUUUGUUCCCAUGGGUGUUUUGAUGGGCUUGGCAUCCUUCAUUCCAAACUUGCUUAGGAUGUCUUGAGUGUACUUCGUUUGGCUGAUGAAGGUGCCCUCUUGGAGUUGCUUCACUUGAAAUCCUAGAAAAUACUUCAACUCCCCCAUCAUAGACAUCUCGAAUUUCUGUGUCAUGAUCCUACUAAACUCUUCACAUGUAGACUUGUUAGUAGACCCAAAUAUAAUAUCAUCAACAUAAAUUUGGCAUACAAACAAGUCAUUUUCAAGAGUUUUAGUAAAGAGUGUAGGAUCGGCCUUGCCGACUUUGAAGCCAUUAGCAAUAAGGAAAUCUCUUAGGCAUUCAUACCAUGCUCUUGGGGCUUGCUUGAGCCCAUAAAGCGCCUUAGAGAGCCUAUAAACAUGAUUAGGGUACUUACUGUCUUCAAAGCCGGGAGGUUGCUCAACAUAGACCUCUUCCUUGAUUGGUCCAUUGAGGAAGGCACUUUUCACAUCCAUUUGAUAAAGCUUAAAGCCAUGGUAAGUAGCAUAGGCCAAUAAUAUGCGAAUUGACUCAAGCCUAGCUACGGGUGCAUAGGUUUCACCGAAAUCCAAACCUUCGACUUGGGAGUAUCCCUUGGCCACAAGUCGUGCUUUGUUCCUUGUCACCACACCAUGCUCAUCUUGCUUGUUGCGGAAGACCCAUUUGGUUCCUACAACAUUUUGGUUAGGACGUGGAACUAAAUGCCAUACCUCGUUCCUCGUGAAAUUGUUGAGCUCCUCUUGCAUCGCCACCACCCAAUCCGAGUCUUGGAGAGCUUCCUCUACCCUGUGUGGCUCAAUAGAGGAAACAAAAGAGUAAUGUUCACAAAAAUGAGCAACCCGAGAUCUAGUAGUUACCCCCUUAUGAAUGUCUCCGAGGAUCGUGUCGACGGGGUGAUCUCGUUGGAUUGCUUGGUGGACUCUUGGGUGUGGCGGCCUUGGUUCUUCCUCAUCCUCCUUAUCUUGAUCAUUUGUAUCUCCCCCUUGAUCAUUGCCAUUAUCUUGAGGUGGCUCAUCUUCUUGAUUUUGUCCUUCAUCAACUUGAGCUUCAUCCUCACUUUGAGUUGGUGGAGAUGCUUGCAUGGAGGAGGAUGGUUGAUCUUGUGCAUGUGGAGGCUCUUCGGAUUCCUUAGGACACACAUCCCCAAUGGACAUGUUCCUUAGCGCUAUGCAUGGAGCCUGUUCUUCACCUAUCUCAUCAAGAUCAACUUGCUCUACUUGAGAGCCGUUAGUCUCAUCAAACACAACGUCACAAGAAACUUCAACAAGUCCUGAGGACUUGUUAAAGACUCUAUAUGCCCUUGUGUUUGAGUCAUAACCAAGUAAAAAGCCUUCUACAGUUUUAGGAGCAAAUUUAGAUUUUCUACCUCUUUUAAUAAGAAUAAAGCAUUUGCUACCAAAAACUCUAAAGUAUGAAAUGUUGGGCUUUUUACCGGUUAGGAGUUCAUAUGAUGUCUUCUUGAGGAUUCGGUGAAGAUAUAACCGAUUGAUGGCGUAGCAGGCGGUGUUGACCGCUUCGGCCCAAAACCGGUCCGGUGUCUUGUACUCAUCAAGCAUGGUUCUUGCCAUGUCCAAUAGAGUUCGAUUCUUUCUCUCCACUACACCAUUUUGUUGUGGCGUGUAGGGAGAGGAGAACUCAUGCUUGAUGCCCUCCUCCUCAAGGAAGCCUUCAAUUUGUGAGUUCUUGAACUCCGUCCCGUUGUCGCUUCUUAUUUUCUUGAUCCUUAAUCCGAACUCAUUUUGAGCCCGUCUCAAGAAUCCCUUUAAGGUCUCUUGGGUUUGAGAUUUUUCCUGUAAAAAGAAUACCCAAGUGAAGCGAGAAUAAUCAUCCACAAUAACAAGACAAUACUUACUCCCGCCGAUGCUUAUGUAAGCAAUCGGGCCGAAUAGAUCCAUGUGGAGUAGCUCAAGCGGCCUGUCGGUCGUCAUGAUGUUCUUGUGUGGAUGAUGGACUCCAACUUGCUUCCCUGCCUGGCAUGCGCUACAAAUCCUAUCUUUCUCAAAAUGAACAUUUGUUAAUCCUAAAAUGUGCUCUCCCUUUAGAAGUUUAUGAAGAUUCUUCAUCCCAACAUGGGCUAGUCGGCGGUGCCAGAGCCAACCCAUGUUAGUCUUAGCAAUUAAGCAUGUGUCAAGUUCAGCUCUAUCAAAAUCUACUAAGUAUAGCUGACCCUCUAACACACCCUUAAAUGCUAUUGAAUCAUCACUUCUUCUAAAGACAGUGACACCUACAUCAGUAAAAAGACAGUUGUAGCCCAUUUGACAUAAUUGGGAAACAGAAAGCAAGUUGUAAUCUAAAGAAUCAACAAGAAAAACAUUGGAAAUAGAAUGGUCAGGAGAUAUAGCAAUUUUACCAAGUCCUUUGACCAAACCUUGAUUUCCAUCCCCGAAUGUGAUAGCUCGUUGGGGAUCUUGGUUUUUCUCAUAUGAGGAGAACAUCCUUUUCUCCCCGGUCAUGUGGUUUGUGCACCCGCUGUCGAGUAUCCAACUUGAGCCCCCGGAUGCAUAAACCUACAAAACAAUUUUAGUUCUUGACUUUAGGUACCCAAACGGUUUUGGGUCCUUUGGCAUUAGAAACAAGAACUUUGGGUACCCAAACACAGGUCUUGGAGCCCUUGUGUUUGCCCCCAACAAAUUUGGCAACUACCUUGCCGGAUUUGCUAGUAAGCACAUAAGAUGCAUCAAAAGUUUUAAAUGAAAUGGCAUGAUCAUUUGAUGCAUUAGGAAUUUUCUUCUUAGGCAACUUAGCAUGGGUUGGUUGCCUAGAACUAGAUGUCUCACCCUUAUACAUAAAAGCAUGAUUAGGGCCAGAGUGAGACUUCCUAGAAUGAAUCUUCCUAAUUUUGCUCUCAGGAUAGCCGACAGGGUAUAAAAUGUAACCCUCGUUAUCCUGAGGCAUGGGAGCUUUGCCCUUAACAAAGUUACACAAGUUCUUAGGAGGGGCAUUAAGUUUGACAUUGUCUCCCCUUUGGAAGCCAAUGCCAUCCUUGAUGCCAGGGCGUCUUCCAUUAUAAAGCAUGCUACGAGCAAAUUUAAAUUUCUCAUUUUCUAAGUUGUGCUCGGCAAUUUUAGCAUCUAGUUUAGCUAUAUGAUCAUUUUGUUGCUUAAUUAAAAUCAUGUGAUCAUGAAUAGCAUCAAUAUCAACAUUUCUACACCUAGUACAAAUAGUGACAUGUUCAAUGGUAGAUGUAGAUGUUUUGCAAGAAUUAAGUUCAACAAUCUUAGCACGAAGUAUAUCAUUCUUAUCUCUAAGAUCGGCAAUUGUAUCUUUGCAAACAUCAAAAUCUUGGGCCUUAGCAAUCAAAUUUUCAUUCUCUAAUCUAAGGCUAGCAAGAGAAAUGUUCAAUUCUUCAAUCCUAGCAAGCAAAUCAUCAUUAUUAUCUCUAGGAGUGGAAAUUGAAACAUUACAAACAUGAGAAUCAACCUUAGCAUUUAAACUAGCAUUUUCAUGUCUAAGGUUGUCAAUCAUUUCACGGCAAGUGCUUAGCUCACUAGAUAAUUUUUCACAUUUUUCUACUUCUAGAGCAUAAGCCUUUUUAACCUUAACAUGUUUUUUGUUUUCUUUAAUUAGACAAUCCUCUUGGGAAUCCAAAAGGUCAUCCUUUUCAUGAAUAGCACUAACCAAUUCAUUUAAUUUUUCCUUUUGAGCUAUGUUAAGGUUGGCAAAAAGGGAACGCAAAUUAUCUUCCUCAUCACUAGCAUUGUCAUCACUAGAGGAUUCAUAUUUAGUGGAGGAUUUAGAUUUAACCUUCUUUUUGCCGUCCUUUGCCAUGAGGCACUUGUGGCCGACGUUGGGGAAGAGGAGUCCCUUGGUGACGGCGAUGUUGGCGGCGUCCUCGUCGUCGGAGGAGUUGCUUGAGCUUUCGUCGGAGUCCCAUUCCCGACAAACAUGGGCAUCGCCGCCCUUCUUCUUGUAGUAUCUUUUCUUCUCCUUUCGCCUCCCCUUCUUGUCGUCACCUCGGUCACUGUCACUAGAUAUAGGACAUUUAGCAAUAAAAUGACCGGGCUUACCACACUUGUAGCAAACCUUCUUGGAGCGGGACUUGUAGUCUUUCCCCCUCCUUUGUUUGAGGAUUUGGCGGAAGCUCUUGAUGACGAGCGCCAUCUCCUCAUUGUCAAGCUUGGAGGCGUCUAUUGGUUGUCGACUUGGUGUAGACUCCUCCUUCUUCUCCUCCGUUGCCUUGAAUGCAACGGGUUGGGCUUCGGAUGAGUCGCCAAGCUCGUUGAUUUUCCUCGAGCCUUCUAUCAUGCACUCAAAACUUACAAAGUGCCCGAUAACUUCCUCGGGGGUCAUUUUAGUAUAUCUAGGAUUACCACGAAUCAAUUGAACUUGAGUGGGAUUAAGAAAAAUGAGAGAUCUUAAAAUAACAUUUACCACUUCGUGAUCAUCCCACUUCUUGCUCCCGAGGUUGCGCACUUGGUUCACCAAAGUCUUGAGCCGGUUGUACAUGUGUUGUGGCUCCUCUCCUUUGUGAAGCCGGAACCGACCGAGCUCCCCCUCGAUCGUUUCCCGCUUGGUGAUCUUGGUGAGCUCGUCUCCCUCGUGCGCGGUUUUGAGUACAUCCCAAAUCUCCUUGGCGCUCUUCAACCCUUGUACUUUGUUAUACUCCUCUCUACUUAGAGAGGCGAGGAGUAUUGUUGUUGCUUGAGAGUUGAAGUGCUCGAUUUGGGCCACCUCAUCCUCAUCAUAGUCCUCAUCCCCUACGGAUGGUACCUGCGCGCCAAACUCAACAACAUCCCAUAUGCUUUUGUGGAGCGAGGUUAGAUGAAAUCGCAUUAAAUCGCUCCACCUAGCGUAAUCUUCACCAUCAAAAGUUGGUGGUUUGCCUAAUGGGACGGAAAGUAAAGGUGUAUGUUUGGAAAUGCGAGGGUAGCGUAGGGGGAUCUUACUAUACUUCUUGCGCUCUUGGCGCUUAGAAGUGACGGAGGGCACAUCGGAGUCGGAGGUAGAAGUUGAUGAAGUGUCGGUCUCGUAGUAGACCACCUUCCUCAUCCUCUUGUGCUUGUCGCCUUUCCGAUGCGGCUUGUGGGAAGAAGAUUUUUCCUUCUUCUCUUUGUGGUGAGAAGAAGAUUUCUUCUCCUUCCCUUUGUUGGAGGAGCUCUUCUUCUUCUCCCUCCUUUUGGUGCGGGACUCUUCCGAUGAAGUGCUCCCGUGGCUUGUAGUGGGCUUUUCGCCGGUCUCCAUCUCCUUCUUGGCGUGAUCUCCCGACAUCACUUCGAGCGGUUAGGCUCUAAUGAAGCACCGGGCUCCGAUACCAAUUGAUAGUCGCCUAGAGGGGGGUGAAUAGGGCGAAACUGAAAUUUUCAAAUAUAAACACAACUACAAGCCGGGUUAGCGUUAGAAAUAUAAACGAGUCCGCGAGACAGGGCGCAAAACAAAUCGCGAGCAAAUAAUGAAGUGUGACACACGGAUUUGUUUUACCGAGGUUCGGUUCUCUCAAACCUACUCCCCGUUGAGGAGGCCACAAAGGCCGGGUCUCUUUCAACCCUUCCCUCUCUCAAACGGUCCCUCGGACCGAGUGAGCUUCUCUUCUCAAAUCAAAGCCGGGAACAAAACUUCCCCGCAAGGGCCACCACACAAUUGGUGCCUCUUGCCUUGAUUACAAUGGAGUUUUGAUCACAAGAACAAGUGAGAAAGAAAAGAAGCAAUCCAAGCGCAAGAGCUCAAAUGAAUACGGCAAAUCACUCUCACUAGUCACUAGGGUUUUGUGUGGAAUUGGAGAGGAUUUGAUCUCUUUGAAUGUGUCUAGAAUUGAAUGCCUAGCUCUUGUAAGUGGUUGAGAAGUAGAAAACUUGGAUGCAAUGAAUGGUGGGGUGGUUGGGGUAUUUAUAGCCCCAACCACCAAAUGUGGCCGUUGGGAACCUGUCUGUUCGAUGGCGCACCGGACAGUCCGGUGCACACCGGACAGUCCGGUGCCCCCUGCCACGUCAUCACUGCCGUUGGAUUCUAGCCGUUGGAGCUUCUGACUUGUGGGCCCGCCUGGGUGUCCGAUGCACACCGGACAUGUACUGUUUGAUGUCCGGUGCACCGGUAUGGGCGUGCCUGACGUCUGCGCGCGCUGCGCGCGCAUUAAAUGCACCGCAGGGAGCCGUUGGCGCCGCAGGGAGCCGUUGCUCCGCUGGCACACCGGACAGUCCGGUGCACACCGGACAGUCCGGUGAAUUUUAGCGGGGCGGCUGCCGCGCGAACCCGAGGCUGACGAGUUCCGGAGACCGCGCUUCCUUGGAGCACCGGACAUGUCCGGUGCACACCGGACAGUCCGGUGAAUUAUAGCGCGCCGGCUUCCGAGAAAUCCCGAGGGCGAGGAGUUUGAGUUGGUGUCCUCUGGGCGCACCGGACACUGUCCGGUGCACACCGGACAGUCCGGUGCCUCCAGCCAGAGGUGCCCUCGGUUGCCUCAUUGCUCCUUUGUUGAAUCUAACACUUGGUCUUUUUAUUGGCUGAGGGUGAACCUUUUACACCUGUAUAAUCUACACACUUGGGCAAACUAGUUAGUCCAAAGAUUUGUGUUGGGCAAUUCAACCACCAAAAUUAUAUAGGAACUAGGUGUAAGCCUAAUUCCCUUUCAGGUUUCAACUCCAGGGUCAUGGGGACGUGGAGCUUGAUGUUGAUGGUGGCAAAGGGGCAGAGGACAGGAGCAGAAUCGGCAGCAUCGGAGAUGGUGCUCAUGGCGCAGGGAAGGGGAAGGAGAGGGCAGACGGCGCGGUCUGGUUAAGGCGGCGCGGCUGGAGGAGAGAAGGUGAGGGGGGGGGGUUGGGAAAUUAGAUCGAUGCCUGGGUCUCUGAUACCAUGUAGAGAAACAGGAUUGAGGGCAAUUGGCCACACCUCAAUGAGAGGGGGCACCUUCUAUUAUAUAGAGCUGGCUGGCCUGCUUUACAAGGCAGGGAUAAUUCCCCUGAUUUAUCCCUGAUUUACAUCUGCUAUAUCUAGCAACUAAUCCCUGAUUUACAUCUGCUAUCUAUAGCAGCUAGGAUUCUAUCCCUGAUUUACAUCUGCUAUCUAUAGCAGCUAGGAUAUCCACAGAUGACAUAUUCUAUUGCCUAACAUUAACUGUAUUUCUCUGAAUCCCCAAAACUCUAACCCUAACUCUGAAACCCGAGCACAUAAAUAAGGGAAAGGAGGAGUGUCUUUAUCUAGCCGUCGACAAGCCAUGGAAGAGCGUAGCACGACCAACGGUCUUGUGCACGAUGAUGCACAUGGGCCUUAGGGCACCACCGAGUGACCGCUCGAUGGUAACAGUGGCGAGGGGCCUCAUGGACAGGGCCAGUACUCCACCAUACUCGCUCGCUUACUAGAGAUGGGGGGAAGAAGGCGGAAGAGAGAGAGAGAGAGCGCUACGCGAGGAGGAGAGAAUAAUGAAUUACGGUUUUCACCCUCGAUCGAAUUUUUUUGAUUUUUAUACGUAGUGUAAGUUAUGAAAUUAAGCGACCAAGAAAUUAAGUUUUAAGUAUAAAUGAGUAAGUAUGAGAUCAAGACAGAGAAUAUUAGGUUGAUCUUAUUUGGCUCAGUCAAACGACCAAGUCGGACUUACCUCCCGCACCCUGAAUCUGAUAAGGAGUGCAACUAUUUUUUGGUUGCAGCUCCCUUUCACAUUGUCAUUAUAGUUGUCUUCGAUGCUGAUCGUUACCACCCUAAUAGUGUCCUCUACCAACAUAAACAUAGAAGGUAUAACCUUCAUGUUUAUGUGUACGUAGUGGCUAGAGUUUACGAGCAAGGUCUCUCUGUGGUCUAAGAGAUGGAAGAUGCCCAGGACAAUCACGCAACCAAACGCUUUCAGAGUGCCAUUGAUCUGCGUGCAAGGUCAUGACUCAGGAGACUACGAAAACCAAUUGGUACCAGUUGACAUGUUGACAGCGAUUGUAUACUGACCAACUGCAAGACGAUGCGGAUGCGGAUGCGGAUGCGGAUGGGGCUUGGAUCAUAAAGCUUCACAACUUCACAAGACAAUCCAUCGCGUGCGAUGUCUCUAGCGUUAGCUAGGGAGAGCAGCUGGCGCAAACUAAGCGCGAGAAUGAUCUCUGAGAUAAUAGCACGCAAAGGUGCUGUUGCCUGCUCGCCAAGUAAACUGGACUUGCAAGCAGAGAUUUCAUGGCUCUGAAGUCAGAUGAAAGGACACGCUUAACUGCACUCGCAAGCAUACGUUCUGAAAUGUCUUCAGGAGCUUUCUCUGCUAGGAAUGGCCGAAUGGGCUUACCACGAACGCGUGGAAGUUGGCGUAGACCCGUACAGGCAAACUUUAGGCCCAGAUAGAGAAACAGGCCAGUAGGCCACAGAGAUUCUCGUGGGACAGACAGUGACGCACCCAUCCCCACUAGCAAUGGGCCACCGUCUCUUUGUUUCGUCGAGAUGCGCCACUAUAGUUAUAGGUUUCGCUUUUCGCGGUUGACAAACCAUAGGUUUCGCUGUUACUAGUAAAACAGAGUGAUCAACAGUUCAGCAUUCUACCAAGCCCCAACGGCCCAACCCAACUGUACGCCAUAUGGCUGGGAUUCUACAAAAUCAACCUAAUCUACCUAGCUAGCUAGGAGUACCAAACAAUACCCUCCUCACAAAUCACUCUGGUUCACUCACUCAUGUAUCGUUCCCUUAUACACUCUGCACUGCGCCUACCGGCCAUCAGUGGUGAAGGAUAUGGAGAUGGAGUUCCGGGACUCGUCCUCGGCGACACUGGCCAGCAGCGCAGAGGCCCUGGUCGUGUUCGUGUCGGUGCCGAACCCGAACGUGCUGGUGGUGUUGGUGGCGCUCGACGCCGACGCGGACCCUGAGGCCGUCGUCGUCGCUGCCGUCCACCGGCCGGUCCUGCCGUGUACGGCCGGCUUCCCGGGCCUGGGCAGCGUGAACGAGUCGCUCGACAGCAUCAGGUGCACGCUGUGCAUGUCGGGCCGGUCCGACACCGCGGCCUGGCAGCACAGCAGGCCGAGCUGGAUGCACAGCAGCGCCUGAUCGCUGUCGGGGCUGGACAGCGACGGGUCCACGAUCUCCAGGGACCGUCCUUCUCCGAAUAGCUUCCAUGUCUGAAAUUAAAAAAAAAGAGGUUCAGUAGAUUCUGCAAUAGCUUCUCUUUCUGACGAGGAGAUCCGGUCGAGGAGCGCUCACAUAGCUCAACAGGUCGACCUUCUCGUCGUCCAGAUGCCGGACGAUGUUCUUCCGCCCGCUCACGAUCUCCAGCACCAGGAUCCCGAAGCUGAAGACGUCGGUCUUGGCGGACAGGUAGCCGUUCAUCGCGUACUCUGGAGCCAUGUAACCACUGCGACUAGUCACGUACGGCACCUGCACGGGCAUAGGCUGUGCCGAUAUGAUACAAAGCAAGACAAGGGAACCCGUCCCAACUCACUAUGUGCCGGAGAUCCUGAACGUGUUCACGUGCGUGGCGUCCUCCAGGAAGAGCCUCGCCAUGCCGAAGUCCGAGAUCUUCGGGUUCAGCUGGUCGUCCAGGAGCACGUUGCUCGCCUUGAUGUCUCGGUGGAUGAUCUUUACCGGAGACUCUUCGUGCAGGUAGAGGAGCCCUCUUGCCAGUCCCACGAUUAUAUGGUACCGUUUUGGCCAAUCUAGCGCCGCACACUUAUUCCUGUCUAGAGUCGUCCAAGGAUCGGAACAUAAUAAUGUCCAUGUUAGAGAAAGAACUGAUUUUCAGUCUUAUCCAAAUCUACAUAAUGCCCAUGUAAUUUCAGAUUUUCAGUGCGCAAAUAAUGAAAUUCAGUUUUACCGUUGAGGGAAAAAAAAGGUAGGUGACAAUCGGCACAUAGUGCACUUGUCUAGGAGUAUUACCAUUUCUCCUUUCUAUAUGUAUGUAUAUCUUUCAUAAAGCUCAGUUUUGUUUGAUCUGUUCACAUAAAUGCUUCUGGUGACAAGAAGUCCUAACCAAAGGAAUGGUCAAUGAAAUGAACAUUUAGGUCAAAACUGAUGUGAUGUGUUGAGCCUUUGAGGUUAAGAAAUAAACCAAGUAGCUUUCAUAUGGUUAAUGUCAACAGAUUACUAGUAACUGGAAACAGCUGCUAUAGAAAGUCCAUAGCUGAGUCACUUGAAAGACUUCUUACAGAAUACAGACUGACCACACCACUGGAUUAGCAACACUGAAUAUAACCUCGAUUGUAUUUGACUUGCCACGAAAGUAUGAAACCUCCUGCCUGUCACGUACCAGCCUAAACGUUUUUUUAGAAAGAAAAAAAAAACUAGCAAAGUGUCUAUGUCGUUAGGGUUUCCAUUUAUGCUUGAAUGUUUGAGUAUAGAGUAUAAAGCUCAAAGACAUGUGUCCUAUUGGCUAGGUAUGAGCAGGGAUUACCUUUUCGUUUACAAAUUUCAAAAACCGUUUUAUUGACCAUUUUUUUACUUUUAUGUUUUCAAAUUCUAAACCGAAAAAUAUAAUUUCUCGGUAAGUAUCAGUAACGGUAAAUUUUACCGGUACUUACCAGCCGAGAUUGCAAACCGUGGGUAGGAGUGAAUGUGGUUUUGGAGCCAACAACUAUUGUUUGAAUCCAUAUUUAACUGAACUGAACUGGUUCAGUAACUAAGAUGAGGGUUUCAUGAACGUGCAGUGAGAAAACAAUCAGACUAAGAUUAAAAUGCUUAUUAUCCACACAUAAUCAACAAUAGCAUGAUGCAACCAAUUCAGAACAAACCAAAGAAAAGGCUCUCACCGAAGAGAGUGUGGUCGAGGCUGCUAUUGGGGAAGUAGGGAUAGACGAGCAUCUUGUGGCCGGAGGAAGCACAGCAGCCAAGCAGGGACACCAGGUUCCGGUGCUGCACCUUGAGCAGGAGCCGGACCUCGUUCAGGAACUCGCGCACGCCUUGCCGUGACCCCAGAGACAGCCUCUUCACAGCGAUCUGCUGCCCAUUCUCCAUCACCCCCUGCAAAGGAUAGAGCGCAGGGAGUUUCCCCCCGUGAGUUUUAUCGUUGGAAAGGAGUUAUGUUCUUUCCCUGGAAAGAAAGAUACAGUAUCAGUAUGUUUAUCUAAAGAAACUUCAAUGCUGAAUGCAAAAUAACACUUUCAUAUCGAGAGUUCGAGACAUAGUGUUUUAUCCGCGGCAGAUCAUAUAAAAUACAGUAGAUGAUUUAGACUGUAUGUCGAAGUCGGAGACAGCGUUAACAGGUGUUAUAGUGGGCCGGAGAUAUGCGCCGAAUUUGAUCUGAAAUGCAGUUGUCUGCCCAAACAGGUAAUAAUAGCGUCGGACAGAAGCAGAGAGUAAAGAAAAACAAAUUCCGGAGCAAUUCUUUUAAUUAAUCAGUUAUUAUAUAGUAGAUGACCAAGGUACACAGGAUAAAACAGAUUGGCCGGCCAGCCAACUGGGCUUUAGGAGAAGGUACAUAAGUACGAUAGUAUAUAGUCUUCUGAAGCAAUAAAUAAUCUAGCGAGAAAUAAAUAAGCAAAUAAAUCCUGUGAAAGGCACAAGGGACGUGUGAAGGCCGAAGUGAGGUUGCCUUGUAGACGGGGCCGAAGCCGCCGCGGCCGAGGAGGUUGUCGUCGGAGAAGCCGCCGGUGGCGGCCUCGAGGACGGGCAGGUCGAUGAAGAGGCUCCACUCGUCCCCCUCCUCGGCGGCGCGCCCCGACGCGCCGGCCGUGUCGCCCGCAGCGCCGCCGCUGGUCCGCCUCCUGCCCGCGCAGCACCCGCAGGUCCACGUCCACGACCGCGCCGCGGCCGGCAUCCCCACCACCACCUAACAAGCAGAGCCGCGUGAAGCCAGCCGGAGGGCGGAGAAGCAAACAAGCAGAAGGCGGGGGCAGCCGAACACAUGUACACAACACACACCUACCUGACCUGCUGCUGCUGCGUGCUUCCGUCCCGCGCCGCGCCACCACAGACAGGACACGCGGGGGGCGAAGAGUCAGCGGACCAGCCGACGGACGGCUGGGUGGCGCGAGACGGCGUGCGUGACCGGCGGGCGGGGCGGACGGUCUCUGGUCCGGCGGUCUUGCGCAAAACACACAACACAUGUGCGGUGGUGUGCCCGUGCGGGUUUUGUCGCGGCCAAGCAGCGCAGCCAAAUCGAGGAGUUAGUUACGUGGUUUGUGCUGGUGGCCUGCGGGACCGGAAAUUUGGAAUUUACUAGUAUUGCAGAAGUAAACGGAGAUCGUGAUCGGUGGACGUAUGUUUAGGUCUGGGCCGUCGCUGUCGUCACAUUUUUUUUCAAGCGCGUUUCGGCGGGUGGCCCGGUCACUGAAUAGACUAGCAGCUCGAACCUGCCGCCGGGCCGUGGUAGCUGGCUGCAGUUGCCAGUGGAGACCCGUUCCUUCCUCUUGCCUUUGUCAAUCACCAUGCGCCUAGAACUCCCUCACUCUCUCUCUCAAAAAAACAAGAGAGAGAGAGAGAAAUUUCAUUGUCACAAAUGUCAAACAAGUACAGAUUUGAUUAAAUAAUUCAAAAACAACCGUUUUUUUAGAUACAUAAUAAAUACCACUAGAUUAAGUACAAAAUAUAUCUUUUAGAAAAUAAAAUGAAGCACACAUCAUGUACUUCGAGGAGUUAAAUAGAUCUUAAGUUUGAUAAGAUCUAUAGGUAACAAUCUUAAGGUUUAUAUUGAUAUGCUAAGUUGAUAUUAUAAAAUGCAGUAUUUUUUAUUUAGAUUUAAUUAAGUUUAAGUUUAUUUAAAUUCUUAGAGUGCGAGAUUUGGCCCCGGGUGAGGGGUGACCAAGCAGUAUUACUCAACUCUGGCUGCGGACUGGAACAGGUCUUGGAUUGUUGGUUUCAGCUGGCGGUUUGAUUUUGAAUCCUUAAAUGCUAGCUUAUUUCAACUUAUUUAUGGUUCAAUGUGAUAUUUUAUCCUCCUACACUUCCACUACAAUCUAAACCCUAGUUUAGAAACAAACACACCCUAAAAAGACAGAUAAGUUAAAAUAGAUGUCACAUCAGAUUUUAUAAUAAUGACACAUAGUUGUACUCUUUAAAUUUUACUAUAUACAUAGCUGUACUCUUUAAAUUUGUUCUAGCUUUGCCACCAUUAACCUUGCUUUCAGCUCAGGACCAAACAAGCUAGUGCGGUCAGGGGACCCAGCCACAAUCUACUUUGCAUGGCAUGUACUGUACGUUUUGGCCACCUUCUUGUUGCUCAGAGUUGACUUGACCUAGCUGUGUAGUGGGCUCACGAGAACGUACCGGAGGAAACUUCCUAAAUCCAUUUUUUUUCUUCUAUACAUGUUUUCCUUUCUAUUUUAUUAUUUUUGUUUUCUAUAAAUUCUUUUGUUUUUUCAUUUUUAAUAUUUUAUCCGAUUUUAGUUCACUAUAACCAAUUGCUUUUAUCUUAUUUUUUUAUCAUCUUGAUGUUUUAUGAUGUUGUUUUCUUUAUUCUUAUUAUAUUUAUGAGAUGUUUAGUUAAUUAUAAGAUUUCAUGCACUAUAAAUAGCACACAUAUUUAAUUAUUCACGUAGAAUUUUACAAUAUCUUUACUCUAUCACAUUAUAAUUGCGGAAUUUGUUAAUUUUCUUCUUAAUUGUUUUUUCAUGUUUUGUUUUUUUAUUUUCUACAUUAUAUGGUAUAUGAACGAUUUUCACAUAGUAUACAUAUCAUGUUUUAAGAUACAUUUACUAAUAUUUAUAUUAUAUAAUGAGAUUUUCACAUAGUAUGCAUGUGAUGUUCGCCUGGUAUGCAUAUGAUGUUUUAUGAUGUUCACGUGGUAUUAUAUGAUAUUACAUUAUUAGUAUUCACAUAGUAACUUGUUUUCCAUUUAAGUUGUUUAAUUAUUUCUAUAUAUUUUUAGCAUGUGUUGCUUGUUAUUUACUUUCAUCUUCUUUAUUUUAGUCUGAUUAUUUUAGUUUUAUGUUUUUUUUGUUUCCUAUAUUAUAUGGUAUAGAAAGGUCUUGGCACUAGAUGUCUCAGGGAAAAAACACAUGCAACCAAAACGUAUUGCACUGCCUUGUCUUAUUAAUCACACAUAAUACAUCUCUCUAGGUGAUUCAAACCUUGACGGGCCAACCUAUCCACCAUCUAGCAGCUAUUCUGGGAGGUCAACCAAACAAAGUAUUUGCAACGCGGAGAAGCCCAACUUUCUAGAUCCUACCAGCUGGCUCAAAUUGAACUGCCCUGACAAAAAAAUCUCUCAGAAACCGACUUAGAAGAAUAGACCCCAAAAGACGCAGGGGUCCAAAGGUACUGAUCUGGAACCCCCCAAGAAAGUUACAGAUCCUCCAAUAAUCAUUACUAGAAAUACUUGAAAAGGCUUUACUAGAGAGGCUACCUGCAAUGCCUCUAACCCAUCUAUGCUCUUCCAGGGUGUCUUGCAUUGUUCUAUUUUGAAUGAAUCUUUUAUAGUGUGUUUGGUUUGAGGUCAAAGUAGGAUGAGUCCGGGGCGACACUAUCCCCUCAAUUUUUUGGGAUCACGCCGCCCCUAAAAAUCACUCCGGUGUUCACCUCGCCCCUGCUUAACUCUCAACCAAACACUAUAAAAAACGUAGCCGCUCCAUUCCAUCCCUCCUUAUACAUUCAACCAAACGCACCCUUAGGCACUUGGACAGCAAGGUUUGGUGCUAUGUCAGCCAAAGAUUGUCCAUGCAAACAAGGUUCUGGCCCCAUCCCCAACCAUAGAGAUGGCUUAUUCAAUUUAUAUUAAUUUGAUAUAAUCAAUUUACAUUUACCUCAAAAUAUUGUAUUUCAUAGUGGGUGCAAGUUCUUCAAUGACGAUAAAUUCUCCGUGUGAGAAUACAGAUGGGAGAAAAGGUCGUCCACAAACGUUUGUGGAGACGGGGACAAAAAUUUUCAUCCCGUAGAGAUAGGGUCAUAGGGACAAGGAGCUCUCCUAUUGGAGUGUGCUUGCAUAUAAAAGUUGUAUAAAAUUUGAUGGUCGGCCAGCUGCACAGUGCCAGCUUGGUUGGAGCUUAAUCCCCUGGCCGGCUGGCCCCAUCGAAGGGUCCUGUCACUCUCGCAACAUGAAGGCCCUUAGGCUGGCUGCAGCGGUUGCCGCCAGCUAGCCCUCUCCCCUUACAUGGUGCCUGCAGGGGGUGCCCCACGCCUGCAGCGCUGCCCCCUGCAGGGCUCUCUACGCGCCGGCCCCUUUCUCUCUCCCUCUGGAUAUAGCGUGUCACUGUUCACACCCUCCAGCACUAGCAGUGGGUCCAUGAGUAAUUGUUAGUAGAUGAAAAAUUGAUAGUAGAUGAAAAGUAGGUAUAAGAAAUGAUAUUUUAUGGUUGUAGUGGGGUAUAGGGGAAAAAACAGGGGGAAUCGCUGCGGGAGAUAAAAACGUAGGGGAUGAAAUGUUGAUGAUAUGACGCAAAAAAGUGAUACAGGGAGGAAAAUUUAGAGGAAACCGCUGCGGAUAGCCUCAGGCUACCUGCAAUGGUGGCCGCUGGGCAACCCUCUCCCCUUGCAUGGCGCCUGCAGGGGCACCCCACGGCCGCAGCGCUGCCCCCUGCAGGGCCCCCUACACGCCGGCCCCCUUCUCUCUCCCUCUAGAUAUAACGUGUCAUUGUUCAUACCCUACAGCAAUGUUCAUUCAUAUAGCAGUGGGUCCACGACACUACAGGAAAACACUUAAUUCCCGUCGGCCAGGAACUGACGAGAAUAAGCAUUAAACCGAUGGAAAUUACUAAUUCCCGUCGGUUUAAUGCUUAUUCCCGUCGGUUGUCAGCCGACAGGCGUCAGGUGUCGGGGACAAGGUUAUUCCCGUCGGCCGCCGACGGGGAGUUAUGGCUAAUUCCUGUUGGCCAGGACAACCGACAGGAGUUAUUAAUUAAUCCCCGUCGGCCCUACCAGCCGACGGGGAUUAACUAUUAACUCCCACCGGCCAGGUCAGCCGACGGGGAUUAACUGGGCCGACGGGAGUUAAUAGUUAAUUCCCAUCGGCUAUGGUCAAACCGACGGGGAUUAACUGGGCCGACGAGAGUUAACCUAUAAUUCUGCAACAGCAACACCAAAUUAGAUAUUUCUCCACAAUCGCACACAUAACAUACACAGAACAUACACAUCACAAACAUAUGACAAAACAUAUAUAUCAUCACAUGAACAUACACAUCACAAACGCAUUGAUAUGAUUCACACAUCACAAACGCAUUGAUAUGAUUCACACAUCACAAACUUAAGAUCUAGUGUUUACACAAACAUUUCAGAUACGAGUUAAGAUCAAGUGUUUACACAAACAUAACGUCCACGAGUUAAAAAACAUAACGAGCAUGAGUUCAAGUGUUUAGAGAUAACCACCACUUGGGUGGUUAGAGCUUUGACCGCUGCUGCCACCAGGAGGAGGGAACGCG
Molecule: long non-coding RNA, 20397 nt
Filed under: Zea mays
Lineage: Eukaryota; Viridiplantae; Streptophyta; Magnoliopsida; Poales; Poaceae
Description: long non-coding RNA (ZMAY_LNC001475)
Source: RNAcentral